RNAcentral lists this ribosomal RNA (771 nucleotides) under uncultured bacterium. Its description in RNAcentral is "bacterial SSU rRNA". It matches the Rfam family "Bacterial small subunit ribosomal RNA", at positions 8 to 796 of the family's 1533-position model. The record is from RNAcentral.
AGAGUUUGAUCCUGGCUCAGGACGAACGCUGGCGGCGUGCUUAACACAUGCAAGUCGAACGGAAAGGCCCUUCGGGGUACUCGAGUGGCGAACGGGUGAGUAACACGUGGGUGAUCUGCCCUGCACUUUGGGAUAAGCCUGGGAAACUGGGUCUAAUACCGAAUAUGACCAUGCGCCUCCUGGUGUGUGGUGGAAAGCUUUUGCGGUGUGGGAUGGGCCCGCGGCCUAUCAGCUUGUUGGUGGGGUAAUGGCCUACCAAGGCGACGACGGGUAGCCGGCCUGAGAGGGUGACCGGCCACACUGGGACUGAGAUACGGCCCAGACUCCUAUGGGAGGCAGCAGUGGGGAAUAUUGCACAAUGGGCGCAAGCCUGAUGCAGCGACGCCGCGUGAGGGAUGACGGCCUUCGGGUUGUAAACCUCUUUCAGCACAGACGAAGCGCAAGUGACGGUAUGUGCAGAAGAAGGACCGGCCAACUACGUGCCAGCAGCCGCGGUAAUACGUAGGGUCCGAGCGUUGUCCGGAAUUACUGGGCGUAAAGAGCUCGUAGGUGGUUUGUCGCGUUGUUCGUGAAAACUCACAGCUUAACUGUGGGCGUGCGGGCGAUACGGGCAGACUUGAGUACUGCAGGGGAGACUGGAAUUCCUGGUGUAGCGGUGGAAUGCGCAGAUAUCAGGAGGAACACCGGUGGCGAAGGCGGGUCUCUGGGCAGUAACUGACGCUGAGGAGCGAAAGCGUGGGGAGCGAACAGGAUUAGAUACCCUGGUAGUCC